UGGGGGCGGUGGGGGGCGGGUCUGCAGGCGGGGUGAGAGCAGGCAGCGGCGGCGCUGCGGU
This 61-nucleotide microRNA precursor is filed under the name Pteropus vampyrus (large flying fox). RNAcentral's name for it is "miRNA (ENSPVAG00000028912.1)". Lineage: Eukaryota; Metazoa; Chordata; Mammalia; Chiroptera; Pteropodidae. The record is from RNAcentral.